AAACUUUUUUUUUUUUUCCCUUUUUAUUUAGACAUAAAUAGCAUACUAUUCAUUUCGUUUAUUUUAUUUAAAAAUAAAUUUAGCUGGAAAUAUGAAUCAACUAGGAUUCGAACUUGAAAUCUCGGGUAUCAACCACCAAGCUUUUUGCCACUUGCAUUAGGGACGGUGAGUUUUGUUCCACCAAAACUGAAUUCUGAGUUGAAGUAGACUUUAGAUUGAAGUAAAAUUCCGUAAAAAUUAUUUUUUUACUAUUUGUUUCGUAGCUAUAAAAAUAAAGUUCUUUCAGCUUUAUUGUUUGUUUGACAGAAAGUAAGUAAUAUAAACUAUACUUUAUAUAUAAAUAAUAAAUAACUUAAUAAAUAAUAAAUUAUAAUAUAAUAAAUAAAAAUANUAUAUAUAUAUAUAACUAUGCUACUAUGUUAUUAAUAGCACCAAGUCAUUGGUGCUACCAAGUUUUUGGCCAUUGAAUUAAGAGAUGUGUGGUUAGAAUGAUAUGGACCCCCUAGAGUUGAGUGGGUGGUUGAUUGAAUAGUAUGAUCUAACGGGUGAAAAUGAUCAAAAGGGUAAAUCUAAAGGUGGAAAACUUGACAGCACCAAGUGCUUCGUACUAUUAAUAGCAUAGUAGCCGGACUCAUAUAUAUAUAUAUACUUAACGUACUAAUCAAUUUUCAUCAUAUUUUAAAUGUAUAAACUAAAUGAAGAAAAUAAUAAAAUUUAAUUAAUUAAAUUUUAUCAUAUUUUAAAUAUACAAAAGAGUAAUUAGUAUCAUAAUUAAAUAUAUUUAAAUAUAACUAGCAUUACUCAUUAUAUUAUUUUAUUAUUUUUUUUUUCACUUUCUUUCAUCGUAAUUGACUUUGACUUGGGGUGGCCUGAAGUCGAUUAAGCUGUUUUGAUUAACUCGAGUUUCAACCGUAUUUAUAUUAUGGUGAAAUAAACAACGAAAGUUAUCAUUUACGGCCGAAAACCGAUUUCACCCCUCCCAACUUUCACCCAAACAAAUUUAUGUUUAAGAAUAAUGCUACACACACCCUCCUUUUGGAGUGUAAAAUUUACACCUUAUUUAUUUUAUAAUCUCACACUCAUUUAAUUGGCUGAUCAUAAAAUUUACACAUUUUGUUAGAAUAUAUUGAUAGCAAAUAAAUCAAUUAAGAUUUAAGACAUAAUAUAACUAAUAGAAUUAUUAAAUUAAUAUAAUUUUUAACUUCACUAUAUAUAAAUACUCAAAAAAAUAAUUAAGAAUUUUUUUUUCAAAAUGAUUUACUAAAUAGUUAUUAUC
RNAcentral lists this long non-coding RNA (1276 nucleotides) under Ananas comosus (pineapple). Its description in RNAcentral is "long non-coding RNA (ACOM_LNC002730)". The record is from RNAcentral. Lineage: Eukaryota; Viridiplantae; Streptophyta; Magnoliopsida; Poales; Bromeliaceae.